GACGAACGCUGGCGGCGUGCUUAACACAUGCAAGUCGAGCGGUAAGGCCCUUUCGGGGGUACACGAGCGGCGAACGGGUGAGUAACACGUGGGUGACCUGCCCUCAGCUCUGGGAUAAGCCUGGGAAACCGGGUCUAAUACUGGAUAUGACUCCAUGACGCAUGUUGUGGGGUGGAAAGCCUUGUGCGGCUGAGGAUGGGCCCGCGGCCUAUCAGCUUGUUGGGGGGUGAUGGCCUACCAAGGCGACGACGGGUAGCCGGCCUGAGAGGGCGACCGGCCACACUGGGACUGAGACACGGCCCAGACUCCUACGGGAGGCAGCAGUGGGGAAUCUUGCGCAAUGGGCGAAAGCCUGACGCAGCGACGCCGCGUGAGGGAUGACGGCCUCGGUUGUAA
RNAcentral lists this ribosomal RNA (396 nucleotides) under uncultured bacterium. RNAcentral's name for it is "bacterial SSU rRNA". It matches the Rfam family "Bacterial small subunit ribosomal RNA", at positions 28 to 428 of the family's 1533-position model. The record is from RNAcentral.